CCUACGGGAGGCAGCAGUAGGGAAUAUUGCUCAAUGGGGGAAACCCUGAAGCAGCAACGCCGCGUGGAGGAUGAAGGUUUUCGGAUUGUAAACUCCUUUUGUUAGAGAAGAUAAUGACGGUAUCUAACGAAUAAGCACCGGCUAACUCCGUGCCAGCAGCCGCGGUAAUACGGAGGGUGCAAGCGUUACUCGGAAUCACUGGGCGUAAAGAGCGCGUAGGCGGGAUAGCAAGUCAGAUGUGAAAUCCUAUGGCUUAACCAUAGAACUGCAGUUGAAACUGUUAGUCUAGAGUAUGGGAGAGGUAGGUGGAAUUCUUGGUGUAGGGGUGAAAUGCGUAGAGAUCAAGAGGAAUACUGAUUGCGAAGGCGACCUGCUAGAACAUAACUGACGCUGAUGCGCGAAAGCGUGGGGAGCAAACAGGAUUAGAUACCCCGGUAGUC
RNAcentral lists this ribosomal RNA (440 nucleotides) under uncultured bacterium. RNAcentral's name for it is "partial 16S ribosomal RNA". It matches the Rfam family "Bacterial small subunit ribosomal RNA", at positions 338 to 795 of the family's 1533-position model. The record is from RNAcentral.